GGACGGAGUCCCUCCCUCUGAAGCCCCUCUGUGUGGGGAACAUGACAGCCAGACCAAAGCUCAGAGGACCCAUCGGAGACCAGGACCUGGACCUGGACCCAGCUGUGUGUCCAUGAAGAGUAACCGGUCUAUGAAUCUUCCUAUAGAAUUCAAAGAUGUUGGUCCCCCUGUUGAUGCAAGUUCACAUCAGCAGAGAGGAAAGUCUCCUGAACCCAGAUGUUUGUCCAUGAAGAGUGAUCAGUCUAUUCAUCGUCUGAUUGACUUCAAAGAUGGACGCCGUUCUUAUGACCCAGAAGAGGACCAGGAGAGCUCAGAGGUUCCCACAGGUCCGUCUGCCCAGCAGCAUCAAACACACCUGGACUCCAUCU
Molecule: long non-coding RNA, 368 nt
Organism: Gasterosteus aculeatus aculeatus (three-spined stickleback)
Lineage: Eukaryota; Metazoa; Chordata; Actinopteri; Perciformes; Gasterosteidae
Source: Ensembl